Molecule: ribosomal RNA, 244 nt
Filed under: uncultured Staphylococcus sp.
Lineage: Bacteria; Bacillati; Bacillota; Bacilli; Caryophanales; Staphylococcaceae
Description: partial 16S ribosomal RNA
Rfam family: Bacterial small subunit ribosomal RNA
Source: RNAcentral
CGGCGGACGGGUGAGUAACACGUGGAUAACCUACCUAUAAGACUGGGAUAACUUCGGGAAACCGGAGCUAAUACCGGAUAAUAUUUUGAACCGCAUGGUUCAAAAGUGAAAGACGGUCUUGCUGUCGCUUAUAGAUGGAUCCGCGCUGCAUUAGCUAGUUGGUAAGGUAACGGCUUACCAAGGCAACGAUGCAUAGCCGACCUGAGAGGGUGAUCGGCCACACUGGAACUGAGACACGGUCCGG